This 492-nucleotide ribosomal RNA is filed under the name uncultured bacterium. RNAcentral describes it as "partial 16S ribosomal RNA". It matches the Rfam family "Bacterial small subunit ribosomal RNA", at positions 29 to 507 of the family's 1533-position model. The record is from RNAcentral.
AGUGAACGCUGGCGGUAGGCCUAACACAUGCAAGUCGAACGGCAGCACAGUAAGAGCUUGCUCUUACGGGUGGCGAGUGGCGGACGGGUGAGGAAUACAUCGGAAUCUACUUUUUCGUGGGGGAUAACGUAGGGAAACUUACGCUAAUACCGCAUACGACCUACGGGUGAAAGCAGGGGAUCUUCGGACCUUGCGCGAUUGAAUGAGCCGAUGUCGGAUUAGCUAGUUGGCGGGGUAAAGGCCCACCAAGACGACGAUCCGUAGCUGGUCUGAGAGGAUGAUCAGCCACACUGGAACUGAGACACGGUCCAGACUCCUACGGGAGGAAGCAGUGGGGAAUAUUGGACAAUGGGCGCAAGCCUGAUCCAGCCAUACCGCGUGGGUGAAGAAGGCCUUCGGGUUGUAAAGCCCUUUUGUUGGGAAAGAAAAGCAGCAGGUUAAUCCCCCGCUGUUCUGACGGUACCCAAAGAAUAAGCACCGGCUAACUUCGUG